AGCGGCGGAUGGGUGAGUAACACGUGGGGAACCUGCCCCUAAGUCUGGGAUACCAUUUGGAAACAGGUGCUAAUACCGGAUAAUAAAGCAGAUCGCAUGAUCAGCUUUUGAAAGGCGGCGUAAGCUGUCGCUAAGGGAUGGCCCCGCGGUGCAUUAGCUAGUUGGUAAGGUAACGGCUUACCAAGGCGACGAUGCAUAGCCGAGUUGAGAGACUGAUCGGCCACAUUGGGACUGAGACACGGCCCAAACUCCUACGGGAGGCAGCAGUAGGGAAUCUUCCACAAUGGACGCAAGUCUGAUGGAGCAACGCCGCGUGAGUGAAGAAGGUUUUCGGAUCGUAAAGCUCUGUUGUUGGUGAAGAAGGAUAGAGGUAGUAACUGGCCUUUAUUUGACGGUAAUCAACCAGAAAGUCACGGCUAACUACGUGCCAGCAGCCGCGGUAAUACGUAGGUGGCAAGCGUUGUCCGGAUUUAUUGGGCGUAAAGCGAGCGCAGGCGGAAAAACAAGUCUAAUGUGAAAGCCCUCGGCUUAACCGAGGAACUGCAUCGGAAACUGUUUUUCUUGAGUGCAGAAGAGGAGAGUGGAACUCCAUGUGUAGCGGUGGAAUGCGUAGAUAUAUGGAAGAACACCAGUGGCGAAAGCGGCUCUCUGGUCUGCAACUGACGCUGAGGCUCGAAAGCAUGGGUAGCGAACAGGAUUAGAUACCCUGGUAGUCCAUGCCGUAACGAUGAGUGCUAAGUGU
This 742-nucleotide ribosomal RNA is filed under the name uncultured bacterium. RNAcentral describes it as "bacterial SSU rRNA". It matches the Rfam family "Bacterial small subunit ribosomal RNA", at positions 94 to 823 of the family's 1533-position model. The record is from RNAcentral.